RNAcentral lists this ribosomal RNA (207 nucleotides) under uncultured bacterium. RNAcentral describes it as "partial 16S ribosomal RNA". It matches the Rfam family "Bacterial small subunit ribosomal RNA", at positions 568 to 774 of the family's 1533-position model. The record is from RNAcentral.
AGCGCAGGCGGUUUCUUAAGUCUGAUGUGAAAGCCUUCGGCUCAACCGAAGAAGUGCAUCGGAAACUGGGAAACUUGAGUGCAGAAGAGGACAGUGGAACUCCAUGUGUAGCGGUGAAAUGCGUAGAUAUAUGGAAGGACACCAGUGGCGAAGGCAGCUGUCUGGUCUGUAACUGACGCUGAGGCUCGAAAGCGUGGGGAGCAAACA